AUAAUCUUAGAUUAAACCUUCGAAUUCGAUUUUUGAAAAUUAUUCAUGGUUUUGAGUGAAAAUAUCAUAUAACGUGAUGAAUGCUUCUUCAUCAAAUAGAACUAUCGACUUUUGUGAUCGUUACCUUUACUGUCCAUGACCUUCGUGACGGCAUCAUCUUCAUCGAUUGAGAAUCGGGGUCGCUGUAGUGCCCGAGGAGUCGAUUCAAAAUUCAGUUGCCUGAAGGCAGGACAGAGGCAUGAUCUAUUAUUGACUGGAAGAGUCUCAGAAAUGAAUAGCACGAUCGUACAAAAAAGCGCCACGAAUCAGUUGAAUCUUAGGACUAUAAUUUGAAGGUGUUGAAACUCCCACGAUUCCCUCGAUUCGAUUUUUGUUUGUGGGAAUGACCGCAUCCAAGUCCGCCGACUUUGGUCUCCGGAGAAAUGCUUGUUCAUGGCAAGCGAACACUUCCCAAACGCAGAACAUCUUGAAGUUCAUAGGAAUAUCACUGUAUGCAGCUGAACACCAAUGCAUUGACUGCCAGGCCUGGAUCACCGGUCGACAUAUUAUCAUUACCGAAAUCACCAACGAGAUCUUAUGUGGGUAAAUUGAAUGCGGCACGAAUGGAAUCAGGAUUCAGUGAGUGUACCUUAUCUAUGUCGAUUCGAGACGAAACGAUUCUGUUUUGGCCGGAAAAGUGGAAAAUAUCUGGAUUUGAGAAGGGUAGCAGAUUGUGAUGGCGAAUCGCUGAAUUCUUUUUCGCGUUACGUCUUUUACUAC
Long non-coding RNA from Armigeres subalbatus, 759 nucleotides. RefSeq lists it as uncharacterized. Lineage: Eukaryota; Metazoa; Arthropoda; Insecta; Diptera; Culicidae. The transcript is spliced from 3 exons. The record is from RefSeq and is a predicted model, not a curated record.